Molecule: transfer RNA, 77 nt
Filed under: Acidaminococcales bacterium
Lineage: Bacteria; Bacillati; Bacillota; Negativicutes; Acidaminococcales
Description: tRNA-Pro
Rfam family: tRNA
About the family: Transfer RNA (tRNA) molecules are approximately 80 nucleotides in length. Their secondary structure includes four short double-helical elements and three loops (D, anti-codon, and T loops).
Source: RNAcentral
CGGGGCGUAGCUCAGUUUGGCAGAGCACCUGCCUUGGGAGCAGGGGGCCGCAGGUUCAAAUCCUGCCGCUCCGACCA